This is a long non-coding RNA of Gigantopelta aegis, 698 nucleotides long. RefSeq lists it as uncharacterized. The transcript is spliced from 3 exons. Lineage: Eukaryota; Metazoa; Mollusca; Gastropoda; Neomphalida; Peltospiridae. The record is from RefSeq and is a predicted model, not a curated record.
AACAGGACGAUUCAGUACACAAGUUUGCGAGGAAGAUAAUGGCUCUUCCAUUUCUACCAGCGACACACAUACACCAAAUGUAUAUGAAAAUCAACUCUGGUACCAAGACACGGGAAGCUGAGAGAACUGAUCGACUACGUUGGCCGACAGUGGAUAUAAUAUCCGCUAUUUGUUCCAUCAUGUUGGUCAGUCUACAACGUAACCGUCAGAACCAAGGACCACGUGGAAGGUUGGCAUCGACGGAUAAAUGCCAAUAUGUGACCAGCCAUUGGGUAUUUACGUCUCAUCCAUGAACUUCACACUGAGGUAUCCAUGCCGCUUAUACAGACACGCCUUGUGCAGGAAGGUCGCCUGCGCACAUAUCUCCGACAGCGUGUCACCAUGCACUAGGAGGAAAUCUUUGAGAAGCGGUGAAGAAUGUUCAUCACCUGAGAUGAAAAACGUUUCCAGGUUUUGGGAAUGAGUGCAUUCGUGUAGGGACUGGAGGUAGAUGCAGGUAUACGGCGCGGCAACGCAUCCAGGGAACUCGCGGUAUCGCCGUCACUCCUCAGCGCUUACCGAUGUACUCCAGUUGUUGAAGACCGAUUCCCCACCCCAAGACACAAUAAUUGGACAAUAACGUGUUGCAAAAAAUAACACGAUCGAUCAACUUAAUGUGAAUAACUUGCUUUAUGUGUUUCGUGACAUAAAUGUUUAUU